Molecule: long non-coding RNA, 98 nt
Organism: Melitaea cinxia (Glanville fritillary)
Lineage: Eukaryota; Metazoa; Arthropoda; Insecta; Lepidoptera; Nymphalidae
Exons: 2
Source: RefSeq, a predicted model, not a curated record
CGACAACGCGCUUGCGAUGCUUCUGGUGUUGCAGGAGUCUGUAAGCUACGGUAAUCGCUUACCAUCAGGUGAGUCGUAGGCUUGUUUGCCAAACUAGU